RNAcentral lists this ribosomal RNA (945 nucleotides) under Triticum aestivum (bread wheat). Its description in RNAcentral is "partial small subunit ribosomal RNA". The record is from RNAcentral. Lineage: Eukaryota; Viridiplantae; Streptophyta; Magnoliopsida; Poales; Poaceae.
AUGGAAGAACUCCUACUGCGCCACGGCCGCCUCUCGAGGCCAGUGGCAACCCGCCGCCUCCGCAUCGUCGCCGUCGCGCUAAGGUCCAGACAGAGCAGCAGGCUCGCCGUCCCGGGGUUUCCGCCCGCGACGGCGCCGGCCCCGGCGCCUGCCCAGGAGCACGUGCUACCGUCGCCUCAUGUGGCCGCAGACGCCGCAGCUGUCUUGCUCGAGACGGGCGUGCGCCCGGAGGAUAUCCGGCGCGCGGCGGGGAUGUGCCCCGAGCUAAUGUCCGUGCCCGUCGAGACCAUCACGGCCGCGCUGCGGUUCCUGACCGACGAGGCCGGAGUGCCCGCAGAGGAGCUGCCGCGCGUGCUGAGGCGACGCCCACGCCUGCUCGUGUCCUCCGCCGCGGCGCGGCUCCGGCCGACGCUCUACUUCCUCCGGGCGCUUGGCGUGCCCGACCUCCACCGCCGUGCCGACCUGCUCUCCUUCUCCGUGGAGGACAAGCUGCUCCCGCGGAUCGAGUUCCUCGAGUCGCUAGGCCUCCCCUCCCGCGCCGCGCGCUCCAUGGCACGCCGCUUCCCGGCGCUAUUCUACUACGGCAUUGAUGGCAACAUGCGGCCCAAGGCUGAGUAUCUUCUGGGCGUCAUGGGCCGCGACGCCGACGAGCUCUUCGACUUCCCGGAGUACUUCUCCUACGCGCUCGACACACGCAUCGCGACGCGCCACGAGGCCUGCGCCGCGCGCGGCGUGAGGAUGCCGCUGCCCGCCAUGCUCCGGCCUGGGGAGCCCAAGUUCGAGGACUGCCUCGCGGGCUGUGUCGGCUCCACGCCGCCACGGCGGCGGUCGCCCCUUUGGCACGCCUAUUGGGUGGAUGGCGACGGCGCCGGCGUCGGCGCGGUGGUAGAGAAGGCAAGACGUGACGAUGCGAUCGCGGCAUCAUACCGCCAUGUGCAUUAUUAG